This 278-nucleotide ribosomal RNA is filed under the name uncultured prokaryote. Its description in RNAcentral is "partial 16S ribosomal RNA". It matches the Rfam family "Bacterial small subunit ribosomal RNA", at positions 524 to 800 of the family's 1533-position model. The record is from RNAcentral.
UACGUAGGAGACGAGCGUUAUCCGGAUUCACUGGGCGUAAAGGGCAAGUAGGCGGUUGCUCAAGUUGGGCGUGACGAUCUCUGGCUUAACUAGGGAAGGACGUUCAAAACUAGGCAACUUGAGGGCAGGAGAGGAAAGCGGAAUUCCUAGUGUAGCGGUGGAAUGCUCAGAUACUAGGAGGAACACCGGUGGCGAAGGCGGCUUUCUGGUCUGCACCUGACGCUGAGAGGCGAAAGCUAGGGUAGCGAACGGGGCUUAGAUACCCGCGUAGUCCCUGA